CUGCAGUGAUAACCACCACAAUGUGUAAGUAUGGGGUGGUCAGAUGGGAGAGAAAAAAGUGGAGCAUCUUGAGCAUUUAUGAAGAGAGAUGGAACUGGAGACUCAGGGUGGAGAGGCGGAGCCUCUUGUGAGUGGCCAACCCUGCCACCUGGGGUGAAGUCCUAACCUGCUCCGUGUCUAUGUAGCAGCUCAUAUUAACACUAGAGAACAUGAGGAUGUCUGUGCUCGCUGCGGCCGCUAGAGAACAUGAGGUCUGUGCUCGCUGCGGCCGCUGGGGACCACAAGCCCUGCACCUCACCUGGGCAAUACAGUGGAGCUGGCCCUGAUGACAAAUCACGGGCAAACCAACUGGCCCCGCCCCUCAUUGCCUGUCACGCUCUGGAGAACGGGCCCCACCUCUCACCGCGGCAGCCUUCCCGGAUAGCAGGUCCUGCGACAUACCCAGGCAUCACAGUGGAGCUGGCCUGGAGGCAGGGCCUUCAGCUGGCCGUGAGGACUUUCCCCACCUGCUGCCCUUGAACCACCCUUCUGGCAAGCACCCGGAGAUCCUGUUUUCUGUGCCAAGGAGCAAAAUUGCUUGGCAGCUUUUCUCUGAUACAUUGAGUGGUGAGCUCCUCAAAGACUGGUGCUAUCUUCUUCACAGGGGCCUUGGCUCACUGUUUACACCCCAAAUAGGCAAUGUAUGCUUCUGGAGUCAGCUGUAGACAAAGGCAGUGUCCUAGACUUGGGGACGGUGAGGCAGGUUUUAUUAGGGUGUGAGUUGGGGUAGAUUUCAAGAAAAAGUAAUAUGGACCGGGCUAGCAAGAUGGCCUGAUAGAUAAAGGUGCUUGUCAACAAGCCCACAAAGAUAAGAAGAGGGCAUCAGAUUCCCUGGCCUUGGAGCUACAGAUGGUUCUGAGUCACCACGUGGGUAUUUGGAAUCAAACAUGGGUCCUUUGAAAAAGCAGCCAGUAACUUCUGAGACUUCAGUGCGGUGGCAGGAGAAACUGGUUUCUGAGAGUUUCACCGGAAGAGGAUUCCUGACUCCUGAGACUUGUCCCCUGACAGAGACACUCAUGCAUAUAUACAGACAAAAUAGAUAAAAAAUAAAUUAGUAUGUUGAAAUACA
This is a long non-coding RNA of Mus musculus (house mouse), 1108 nucleotides long. RefSeq annotates it as predicted gene, 19835. The record is from RefSeq and is a predicted model, not a curated record. NCBI's taxonomy places the organism in Eukaryota, Metazoa, Chordata, Mammalia, Rodentia, Muridae. The transcript has 2 exons.